CCUACGGGUGGCAGCAGUGGGGAAUAUUGCACAAUGGGGGAAACCCUGAUGCAGCAACGCCGCGUGAGUGAGGAAGGAUUUCGGUAUGUAAAACUCUUUCAGCAGGGAAUAGAAAAGAAGGUAGCGGAAAAAGAAGCCCCGGCUAACUACGUGCCAGCAGGCGAGGUAAUACGUAGGGGGCAAGCGUUAUCCGGAUUUACUGGGUGUAAAGGGAGCGUAGAGGGAAAGGCAAGUUCGAGGUUAAAACCCAAGGCUCAACCAUGGGACUGCCUUUGAAACUGUCAAACUAGAGUACGGGAGAGGUAAGAGGAAUUCCUAGUGUAGCGGUGAAAUGCUUAGAUAUUAGGAGGAACUCCAGUGGCGAAGGCGUCUUACUGGACCGAAACUGACGUUGAGGCUCGAAAGCGUGGGGAGCAAACAGGAUUAGAUACCCCUGUAGUC
RNAcentral lists this ribosomal RNA (441 nucleotides) under uncultured bacterium. RNAcentral's name for it is "partial 16S ribosomal RNA". It matches the Rfam family "Bacterial small subunit ribosomal RNA", at positions 338 to 795 of the family's 1533-position model. The record is from RNAcentral.